UUUGUAUCUUUAAUUUGCAUGUGUUUAUAUCUAUUUAUUAACUUUUUGUUAACAUUAUAGACAUUAUCUAUAUACUUCCCAUAAUGGUUAAAUUCAGGAUCAGGCAUUUUUCAUCUCUUCCUAUAUUCUUGACUCUAGGGUGUUUGGGAAUUUCACAAGCAAUAUGUAAAUUCUUCAGGUCCUUCUAAUAAAAUUUAUAUUUGCCUUUUGCUGAUACUUCACAAAAAGAACAUAUGUCUUUAUCACAAAGCAACAUUAAGUACUCUAUUAGGUAUUUAUUCUUAAAGGUAGCUGAGUAGCCCAAAGCUGGUAGUCUGCUGGUUUGUCAAAGUUCUGUGGUCUAGGCUCAGUGACUAUUAUAGAAAUUCAUCCAGUGCCAUUCAACCAUUAUGCCUAUUUUACCUAAAAUUUUACUAUCAGUUGAAGCUCCAAAGCUGUCAAUAAAAGAGGAUAAUUCCGCCUGUGUUUAAAAUAGGGAUCAGAGAAACUAUGCUGAACUUGCUAAGCAACAUCCCUCAAAUAGUCAGACACCUUAGCCCAUCACCCAUGCCAAGUAUAUAAGAGGUGAGAGGAACAUUCAGGAGUCACUGAGAGAGUAUAGAUUUUUGGAGAGAAUGGCCAGAGGGCCAUGCAAUCUCCCAGCCCUGGGAGGAGGGAAAAAAUAUGUUUCCUACCCACAAAAUAAGUGGGAGAAAUUUAACCCAAUCAUCUGGGGAACUCGAGCUGGAUGGAGUACACAUAGCACUGGAGCCAGCAUCUAGCUCUCAAAUGGAGAUCAGUGAAAGUCAGAAACCAAGCAGGAGUCAACUGAACAUAUGAAUUUUGAGUGAGAGCCAACACACAUGUGUUCCUGUAGGCCACAGUGACCCAGGGAGAUCCCCAGGUAAUGGGGUGAAUUGAUUUCAAAAGGAUUCAGUAGACACCUUUGAACUACCAGGAUAUAGAAGCUAAAGGAGAGUCUAAAUCAUCAGGAAAGAAUGACCUUUCUACUAUGCCUGUGGUUAUGCUACCAACAAAGACACAGAUUCAUUUAU
Molecule: long non-coding RNA, 1034 nt
Filed under: Canis lupus familiaris (dog)
Lineage: Eukaryota; Metazoa; Chordata; Mammalia; Carnivora; Canidae
Description: lncRNA (ENSCAFG00000058821.1, ENSCAFG00845021618.1)
Source: RNAcentral